This 339-nucleotide long non-coding RNA is filed under the name Brassica napus (rape). Its description in RNAcentral is "long non-coding RNA (BNAP_LNC021357)". The record is from RNAcentral. Lineage: Eukaryota; Viridiplantae; Streptophyta; Magnoliopsida; Brassicales; Brassicaceae.
GUAAGGUAGUGGCCCGGAUUUGAGAUAGAAAGAUGAAGAAGAAGUGUUUAGAAAUGAAAGAUGAGAAAGAUGGAUAGAUAGUACCGGUUGAGUGGCUCUGAUACCACUUGAUACGCCCUAAAAUAGGGAAGGAUCACUCGACCGGACUAAAGGGAUAUGAACUCGCCAAAAGGGAGAACUGAUGGAUUGAACGGUGACACAAUGGGUUGCGGAUGGCCCAAUGAUACUACCAGACUUCAGUUGGUGCUUGAUAUGACUCACAAGUCCACCAAAAGAAGGAUUUCUAAACGUUGCCUGAUAUGACGCACAGGUCCAACGAAUUAGAGGCUGUUUACUCGG